UGACACUGAAGACCGAGGUAAUAGGUCUGUCUAAGGGCCAGUGGAAUAUAAGCUAUAGUUUGUAGUGGUGGUUAUUUUAGAUUCAGAGUGUAGAGGAGAUGGAUCAUUGUAAUUAAGAGUCAUAGAAAUCUGAACCUCACUGCUAAACUGGCGGUAACCAGCAUUUCAUCGCUGCUGGCCAGCACUCCUGCAGAGGCUCACAGCCGAUGACCCAUUAGCAGUCCUCAGAGCCUUCAGGGUGCUGUGCGUGCUGGCUGAAACAUGUGGGGACUUUCUGAGGAGGAGGGUUUCUAAAGAGGUUCUGCCCAAGCUGAGCGCCUCUCUGGCACGGCAGGCUCCGAUCAGCGCCAAGGCUGGGCCUGUCUACACACACACCCUGGCCUACAAACUGCAGCUGGCUGUAUUGCAGGGGCUGGGCUGACUGUGCCAGAGACUGGAUCUGGCUGAAGCAGACCUAGAUGUGGUUUGUGAAGCCUGUCUACCCUACCUGAGCUCCAGACAACCCAUCAGACUGCAAGAAGCCUGUUUAAGGUAAGUCUUUAUUAAGGACCACUGUAGUAAGUAACUAAAUCUUUCAUUUAUACUAAUGUGUUUGAGUGUUAGCACAGCUAAAAACAAAAAAGGCUCAACUCUUAUCCAUCAUUUAAUUAUUUACUUGCUGUUUAUGGUUUUUAGGUAUUACUAAUGUUUAAGCAGUAUAUACACAUAUAUUUGUACUAUGUGCAAGACGGUACUUUUCUUUGGGUAUUGAAAUUCUUGCAUGUCCUGCCUGAUAAUAAUUUAGUAUGGUCUGAUAUUUUUACAAAAGACAAGGUGUUGCUUUUUUCUUGUUUUGUUUUUUCAAAUCUGUGCUCACAUGGCCCUGCAAAUGAAUCUUCAGUCUGUUUCUAAUCAAACCACAACACACAGCUCUGAUGAAGCACAUUUGGAGUGUUUAACUAUUAAUCAGCAAUAACUAAUAGUGUUUUUUGCCUGAUACUUUGAAUGCUAGUUAAUCAGAGAUGAAUAUGUGAAGUGCAGAUCUCAGAGUUUUCAGUCUUAGUUGAUUUGACAACCACUGUAUUACUGGUGCUAAUAGCAAAGCUUUAAUAUAAAGGCCAUACACUGUAGGGCCAGCAAAUCUAACUAUUGUUGUUUUUUUAGGAAGGCAAUAAGUUAACCUCAUCUUACUUUAUAUUGCAGUGGCACACCAGAGUUAGGUACACCAGUACAAUACAUUGAAUUCUGUCUCUAAUAUUCAAAUCCUUGAAUUAAGGAGUUCUAAUCACUUCAGUGGCCACAGGCUUAUAAAAUCAAGAAUUUAGACAUGCAGACAACAGCAACUCAGCCACUAAGUGGUAGGCCAUGUAAAAUCACAGCGUGGGGAUGCUGGGCACAUAGUGUGCAGGUUGCCAACUUUCUGCAGAAUCAGUCACUAUAUAGUGGACAAAGUUCAUAAAGACAUCUAACUUCUGGCAUCAACAAGACAUUUUCAUCAAGGGAACUGCAGCUCAAAGGGUAUUUUCUUUUUAUCAGACCAUCUAUAUAAACAGUAA
Molecule: long non-coding RNA, 1535 nt
Organism: Oreochromis niloticus (Nile tilapia)
Lineage: Eukaryota; Metazoa; Chordata; Actinopteri; Cichliformes; Cichlidae
Exons: 3
Source: RefSeq, a predicted model, not a curated record